AGUGUCUCUGGCACACUUCCCAGCUGCCCUCAGAAAGGAACCAGUUGAGGAGAAGCUACAGUGUCAGGGUCCUCAGGGCCUCAUGGAGGGACUCAACUUGACUAUCCUCUUUCAAAGACGACCGAAGAGGACCACAGAACAUCCUAACCCAGCUGCUUGGAUGGAAACCCCACACCAGCUGGGCUCUGAGGGACCAGUCAGCACAGGAAAGCCAAGGAUUAUGGCCUCCUCUGGCACACCAUCUUCAGUAACGCCACCAUCGUCCUUGGCUGACACUCCACCUGGACUUCUACUCUGACUAAAAAUUCCUGUGUGACAAAGUCAGAAUAUUUCAAGGUCUGAAGUGACGUGAAUUAUUCUAUUGGAAAGAGGCCAUUCUUUAAUAGCGUAUACAUCUUUAUUGCAUCAACAAAAUUUACACCUUCAUGGAGCUUUAGCAUGGUUUUUGAAUGUCUUGUGCUAUUCUGCUUUUUAAGAGCUGCAAUAACAAGUGGCUACAACACAAGGCUUUGCUGAUGAUUCCUCCUGUGCACAUUCUGCUGUUUAGUGGCAAAUGUGAUUGAGUUUCACUUCAGGAAAUUCUUUCCAUGCUGUUUUUUCAUUCAGGCAGGGGCACAGCUCUGCCUUGAAACUCUAUGACAGACCUGCUGCAGAGCCCCAGAGUGUGCAAAGAAAAGAGUCUUUAUCUGCCACUCACUCAAACUCAUUAUCAUGAAUGACACCUUGACAAAAACAAUUAGAGUCGAUAUUACUCAAACAAAGAAUCAACAACUUGGAGGAGCUCUGCUUGAUUGAUAACAUAUAUAGGCUUUCCUUGUGAAACCUCAGACUUUUCUUUGCACUUGCAACAAUUGAACUGCUGUGAUUGUAAAUCUGCACAUGCCAAAACCCCAUUAAAGCUGUAAUUUUCAAAUACUGUUUUAUUUUCCUGAAGCAACAUCACCAAUAAAAUACACCUUGACAUAAAUCA
Molecule: long non-coding RNA, 970 nt
Organism: Notolabrus celidotus (New Zealand spotty)
Lineage: Eukaryota; Metazoa; Chordata; Actinopteri; Labriformes; Labridae
Exons: 2
Source: RefSeq, a predicted model, not a curated record